RNAcentral lists this ribosomal RNA (497 nucleotides) under uncultured bacterium. RNAcentral's name for it is "partial 16S ribosomal RNA". It matches the Rfam family "Bacterial small subunit ribosomal RNA", at positions 28 to 507 of the family's 1533-position model. The record is from RNAcentral.
GAUGAACGCUGGCGGCGUGCCUAAUACAUGCAAGUCGAGCGAACAGACGAGGAGCUUGCUCCUCUGACGUUAGCGGCGGACGGGUGAGUAACACGUGGAUAACCUACCUAUAAGACUGGGAUAACUUCGGGAAACCGGAGCUAAUACCGGAUAAUAUAUUGAACCGCAUGGUUCAAUAGUGAAAGACGGUUUUGCUGUCACUUAUAGAUGGAUCCGAGCCGCAUUAGCUAGUUGGUAAGGUAACGGCUUACCAAGGCAACGAUUCGUAGCCGACCUGAGAGGGUGAUCGGCCACACUGGCACUGAGACACGGUCCAGACUCCUACGGGAGGCAGCAGUAGGGAAUCUUCCGCAAUGGGCGAAAGCCUGACGGAGCACAGCCGCGUGAGUGCUGAAGGACUUCGGAUCGUAAAACUCUGUUAUUCGGGAAGAACAAAUGUGUAAGUACCCAUGCACGUCUUGACGGUACCUAAUCAGAAAGCCACGGCUAACCCCGUG